Pangasianodon hypophthalmus (striped catfish) is the source of this 10089-nucleotide long non-coding RNA. RefSeq lists it as uncharacterized. The transcript has 3 exons. NCBI's taxonomy places the organism in Eukaryota, Metazoa, Chordata, Actinopteri, Siluriformes, Pangasiidae. The record is from RefSeq and is a predicted model, not a curated record.
ACAGUUUGUUGAAAACAUAUUGCCUGUUAAAAUUAUUUUAUUUAUUACCAAUGGUUAAUUAGCCUACAUAAACCAGAAACAGAAAGUAUUAAUGAGAACGUUGUUGCUGUUCUCCUUUCAGCUUUUUCACAGUUUUUACGCCGGAUGCCCUACCUGACGCAACUCUAUCCAAUUUUAUCCUGGCUUGUGACCAGCACUGAGAGCGCACUGCUGCACGCAAGCCCAGUGCCUGAGGUUGGUUGGACCCUAGAAGUUAUUAAUGAGAAUAAAAGGUGUCUGAGGACUUACUGUGAUUGGCCACUGCAGAACAGUCAUUACAGACACAGCCCAGAGGUUAAAUAGACACUCCAAAACUCAACCAUGCAAAAUUGUCGAGUGGAAUAUUUAUGGAAACAUUCUAUUUGAAUGAGGCCUGCCCUUUUCUGCAAGGAAACGUAAUCCAUCCAGGACACACAGUGAAUAAGUAUACAGAAAAUGUUAUCUUUCUGCACAGUUAAAGUAAAAAUUAAUGCACCUUUUGACAAAGAAUAAGAUGAAAAGUCAGGUUUCCAAAGACAUGUAAAUGUUUGUUAACAGUGGCUUGCUAAAUGUUGUUAAAUGGAUAAAACUUUCAUGGCAUCUUUUCUUCCUCAGAUACGAGUACAAAUUAGUUCCAACACACACACACACACACACACACACACACACACACACACACAUACACAUGAAUACAAAACCGACACUCACACAAAUAUACACUCGUGUCAAGAGUGCUAUUGUACCGUGCCCUCAUCUGACUCCAUUAACGGAAAGUGGUUGGGAUCGUGACCUACACAUCAUUAACAAGGUAAACAAUCUGCCAGCGUAGCACAGACACCAGACCCUGAUGUCAAUGUAAUGUCAGAGCAUAGCAGAGUUGUAAUUAAACUGAUUUGAUUGCAUGUAAAGAGGUCCUGCUUUUCAAGGAUGAGAAAACAGGGGAGGACACCAAGUAAUUUCAUAUAUAUUGUGUAGGGUCGAGCAGAAACUCAGCGUAUCUGCUCUCUAGUUUUUCCAUAAGAUGCCUCUCUCUCUUUCUCUCUCUUAUUCAUUCAUACAUUCAGCCACUCCAAAAACAAUAUACAACAAAACUAAAAAAAAAAAAAGCUUUCAUUAAUACUACAGUAGAGUAAUAGUGAUGAACAAAUCUUUAGUUAUUCCAAAUUUAAGUUUUAUCUCCUGGGAUUUUCACACACAACAGUCUCUAGAGUUUAUAGGUUUUACUAAUAAAGUGGAUGGAGAGUGUAUGUUUAAAAAUAUUUAAUUUUUUAAGGACAGGUGAGAGGUAUAACUUUCCAACAGAGAUAUAAGCUAAGUGCAUUCAUUACAUAUAGUCAUGUAUCUCCAUACAUGUAUUACAUGCCUGUGCAUGUUGAUAUGCUCUUAUACGUGUCUACUAUACUGACAAUAUACGUACUGCUGCAUGAAUAAUCCUUGUUGUAACUAUCACAUUAAUUACUGCAAAUUUGGUUUAAUUUAGCAAUAUGGUUUAGACCCUCACUAUUCAGCAGAUUUAAAAUAGCACUUGAUCCAGUAUAUCCUAUUAUUUAAUAUAAUUCUUUUUCUAUCACAUGCCAAUAGUUACUCAUAAAGCACACAUACACUAAAUCAAGGUCAUAAAAUCAUAAAGUCUGUCUAUUGGAUGAAGGCUAUUUUUCACAGUUUUAAUUUGUGAUUAGUAAUUUGAGUUGUUGAAUUAAUAAAACAAUGCCAAUGUUUUUGUUAAUUUGAUGUACUCUCCUAUAAAGAAAAUAUGCCUUGAAACUGUUUAAAUGAUAACUGACUGAGCAUUCAGCCUCAUAUAUGGCUCACUUUAAUUACGUAUAAUUCAGAAUUUUAUCCAUAAAAAAUUUGGUUCUCAAAAUGAGUAAUAUCUCUGAUUAAGAUGCUGUUUCCUCCAAUGUCCUCCAUGUAAAAUGUCAUAUUUAUGUAUUUAAUAUUGGUCUCAAAUACCAUUUCAUAAUUUUUUUAGUGGUUUUACAGCCCAAAAUAUACAUUUCAGCUUGACAUCAAACUGUCAGACAGUGCUGCUGGACUUAAUACUGCUUCUCACUUAAGCUAUUAUUGCGCAAGAUAAAUGGCUUAAGGUCUAUAUAUGUACGUAAUUGUAGCUCAUAAUUUUAUCCAAACAAAUUUUGUUCCUCAAGAUUAGCAAUGGUUGUGAUUAGGAUGCUGUCUCUCCUAUGCAAGUAUAAGGUCAGAAUUACGUGUAACUAAGACACGCCUCCGCUUUCAGAACACUGAGUAGUGCAUACCUCUUUAGUUACUCCUCACUAUGUGUGUGUAACUAAAUGGCCCAUGUGCAAACUUCACUGCACACUUGUAUGAAGCUACAUCCAAAAGUAUGAAACACUACAGUACACUUUAAACCACCAAAGAAACCUCCAAAACAAUUCUGUACUGUACUAAAUGGUAUGCAACCAAAUACACACACAUACAGUAUAUACAUUCUAUAAUGCUAUAGUAUAUUACUGUACUAAACAACAUACCACCAUGGUAUAUCACCAUAUUAUUGCUUUUUAAAGUAUAUUUCAGUCAGGAGUGGCUCAUGCCCAUAGAUUUUGCUGGGGCACCACAACAUUAAUAACAACAGAUUCACAAACAAAAUUAUGCUGAGAGACUAUUAUGCUUUAAUGCUAUAGGCUGCAAUCUAGUGAUUAUUUUGAGUAACCCCAUAAUAAGAAGUAACUAUGUACACCAUUUUUCAGUGAGAGAACAGAAAGAUGUCUAAAAAGUCUAAAAGCACUAACAAAUAGACAAAAAAUACAAUACCAUUAGUUCCUCAAUCCAAACAUCUUUGAUACAAUAUUGCCACCUCACUGUUCAAUUUGCCUAAUUUGUUAUUGAAUGUUAGCUCAUCAAUCUUUCAGAUGUGUACUGUAUAUUUUUCUAUCAUAGCUUUAUUGAAAUCAAAUGUAAUGAAAUGAAAUCAAUUGGUGCAGUUAUGAUGGUUUCUGGCUGCUGAUAAUUGUAAUCCAAUGAUACAUUAAUAACCUCGCUAGGUACAUAGAUAGCUAGAUAACAGAUUAAACUUGCUAAUCAUAUCCUUUCUAAUUCAUGUGUGUUUGAUCCCGCAGAUGUGGUCCCGUUGCCGCAGUGUGUGAGACGAACACAGAAGAGGUAAUAUCAUUAACUGUCUUGUUAGCUACCCCUCCCCCACACAGAAUGUUCAUAGAGUGAGCAUGGGGCAUCGUGAUUCCUGCCCCAGUGGGCCAAUGUUAGCUUGCAUUGCUGUUCCCAUUUGUUCCCAUUUUUGACCACUAGUUGCAAUAAUAGCUCUACUGAACUAAACAGGGCACACAGCAUGCUCCCCCAUGAUUGUGCAACAUUUAGGAAUGGUAAAUAAAUCAAUAGAACAUCAGCUUAUAUCCGUCAAAUAACAUUUUUUAAAUCAUUGGAGUAAAUGCCACACAGACAGUCACCUGGGCUCAGGAUUGAACCCUGGAGCUUUGAGGAGCACUCCACUAUGCGUUUGUAUCAUAUAAUGUGAAUUGUAUUAUUCUAUUAAGCAAAGAAAAUGAGGAAGUGGUAUAAAAUUUUAUAAUAAAUAUUUUGUUUUAGACCUGUUUUUAUUUACUGAAAAAAAAUAACCAGUAGUCAUUUCUUGGCAUUUAUAUUCUGCUGGACAAUAUGUCAUAACCUGAGGGAGCCACAGAAUAAUCUCCUUACAGGAAUAUCAACUGAGGACACUUUGUGCUUGUUUGACGUGAAUUUGAUGUAUAAAUAAAGAAAUAUGUGGAAAUGAAGUAUGCCAUUAAUGAUGUGCAUUUAUCCAUAGUGUUCUUCCUAAAACUUUGAUGUUAUUUUAUGUGUUGUUCAACUUAGGUUUACUUGUAGUCAUUACUAAUGUAUAACAUGCAUUACUAGAACACAUUGACAAUUGAUGUGUAGUGAGAUUACUGUUAUAGGUUACCAUAGGUUACCCUAUAGCAUAGGUUACCCUCAAAACUUCAGUAGGGAUAAUAUGAUUUGCAAAAAAAUUAGACUUGCAGAGGGUGUGAAGCAGUCAGCAAGCUCCGCCUCUUGCUAACUGCAGUUCCUGACUUCAGGAGGCACUGUAGCGCAACCAGUUCACACACACAAACUGUCUGGAUAAUGUGUCAUGGAAUAAAGAUUGAAAAGGCAUGAGGCACCUAGUAUUUACAGCCUCACCAACAUCACUAUCAUCACCCUGGUGGGGAGAUUGGUUGUCACAAUAAUGCUUUUGUCCCUUGAAGUUAGUGUGAACUUGAACUUGGUGUGCCACCAAGAGAAGGUGUCUCUCCUUUUCUUUUGGUUUUUGUUUUUCCUCUAGCAAAUGACUAGAAAAAAAUUCCAAGCACGACAUCACUCUCUCUUGACUCAUCCUCCUGAAAUGAAAAGAAAUAUGGGAAUAACCCCAGAGAAUAUUUAAUCAUGCUCUGGCCCUGGAGCUCUCCACGAGGGAAGCUCCCCUGAGCCAUCCCCAACCACUGUCUAGUGGCACAAUUCAGGAAAGAUUACACUGGGGGCUUGUCUUGGAUGCAUUUCACCUACUCUGGUGAGUCAGUGCAAAUCUACUGGAAUAUUUAAAACAUAAAAAGAAACAGACUUAGAUAAAGUAGCAGCUGAGCUUACCAGAUGUUUAGCUAUGGGCUAACAAGAGGGACAAAGUGCCAGUUUUAUUCAAUUCCACACACUUCCUGUUCACAGACUGUAUAAAGCAUAUCCAAACACACACUUGUCUACAAAACCUGUGUCUUUAGGUUCUGAGCCUUUUUUUUAUGAUUGCCAUUCUUGUCUUUGACAGUACGCCAGUCAAAGCUGCUUACCAACCUUAUCCAUAUCAUAUGCCAAUUCCACUGUUUUUCACUCAAGACACACAGCCCACAGAAAAUCAGUGCACACAGUCACCACAGUGCCAUGGUUGUAGGCAUUAUGAGGCUUAGCUCAUUUAGGGUAAUCCUGAGAGUGCACUGUCUUCUUCCAAGUAUGCAGGAUCCAGACACCCAGCCUAGACAUAAGCAUUAUGUCAUCUUAUUUUGGUAGCAACAAUGAAAAUGCCACUCACCACUUUGACAGCUGUGCUAAACAUAACCAUUGUCCAGACAAGAUAAUGCCUGUCCAGGUGAUGUUCUGUUUAGUUGGACCUGCAGGGGAAGUGGUCCACAAAAACCCCAGAUCUGCAUAUUGGAACUACACAUGCCAAAUAGAGGAAGUUGAGGCUGUAUACGGGCCACCCUCAGAACAUGCUUCUGCUAUCAAGUAGUAUCAAGUUGAAAGAGAGAAUGCAAAAGCCAUGUGAACUGCUACGUGCACUCAGGGAUGAGGUGUCUAUUGUGUAUGCAGAUCAUUCCAAGGGAGAACAAGAUAGCAUAGUUGUGGAAGUGUUUACUAACACAGAUGAUGCCGAUAAUGUACAGUAGCUACUGGACACAUUGGCAAGAGCAUACAAGCUUGAUAACAGACAUGAGAUGAGAAGACAUGCAGCUGUUAGUGUCAGUUUGACUAAUGUGCCACAGAGCAGAGUGUCCAUGUGGACUCUGGUAUUAGAGCACUAAAUGGCACUUCUUGGUUAUAUAAACUCCAUUUUCUGCAUGCCUGAUAUGGUCAUAAACUGCCCUUUGAAGCUCACUUUAGGUUAUCUGCAAGAUAUCAGACAACUAGCAUGGUCAGCAAUCUACAACACACAAGACUCCAGGCCACUCUGCUCCAAGCGGGGCAGAGCCAGAAAACACAAGACUGUCCCUCCAGGACAACUUGGGAAAAUGGGACAAAAAGCUAUCCUGGUAUCUGGCAUUAUAUCAGCACUUUCCUUUCAAACACUUCAGAAACUUCCUCAGCACACUCAUAACCUCCUUUUUUCAUGUACUGUUUUGUGUUGUGUGAUAACUGCAUGCUUAAUGGAAGUGUAAUUCUUCUGUUUCCUUGAAAUGCACAAAUACCCCUGCAACUAUGCCAUGUUUGGUUUUAAAUUGACUAGCCACUGCAAAUUGCAAAACCAUUCUUAGGAUUUAAGUUCCACCAAUAUACAGCACCCCUGUUUCAUGAUACAAUCUCCAAAAAAAGUGCAAUCCUUGUUGGGAGGGUGUGAAUUGGAAUUCCACCUCAGGACUUCCCUUUGAACUACUGACAAAUCAGCUGCACUGAAUGAGGAGCAGCAGGAAAUCUGACCUACCUCAUCAGUCCUCCAUAUAAACCUAUUAGAUUUCCAUUCACCUGGAUCUCUGAUCGUCAGCUUCAGAGUCAUGUUUUCACUUUAAAGGGAAAGAUAAUAUUGUAUUAUAUCACCAAAAUAUCAGCAGAGUACACUAAAAAAGAGGUUAUUUGUUGUGUGAUAAUUACAACUGGUAUGUCUGCAUACCUGGUAUGUCUGCACCAUUGUACAAAGAAAAAUUCCAUGUACAUGUACUUGGCAAAAUAAAUUGAUUCUGAUUAUGACCCUGCAUCAAGGUCUCAUUCAUUCAUGAUCUCUGGACAAGCAGACUUAAUGCCACAGCUAGAUGUUCAGUGCAAUCCCUGCUGAUCUGUGCAACACUGAGUCCCAGGACUCUCUGUCUCUACGAUCUCCAUGGAACCACAACUGCCUAGACUGAAGAUACUGCACAAAUCUGAACCAACCAAGGAGACACCAUUACAGAGUGACUAUAAAGCAUCUCUCUAUACGAUCUUGAUUGCUAGCAUGGUUGUUUAGUUAUAAUUAGUUCAGUAAGUAGAUCCACGUUUUGCCCACUUUACAUAACACUAUUCAAACAGUUGCCUAAAUUCUUGGUGUAUGUCUGCCAUUGAGCUUCAUUCCACUUAACCAAUUGUCUUAUCUACGAGCUAUUGCUAGUAUAUUUGUACAUAGUUUCCAUCGUCCAUGGGCAUAGACCCAAAGUAGAUGUAAUGCGUAGCACACAAACCUGUUCUUGAAUCUGGAUUCAAAACACAUUGUACCUGGGAAUGCAUGUUUCUAUGAGCCAGUAAAGGGGGACAUCAUGCUGGGCCCAACUAAAGGGUUUAUUUUAAAACACUGCUUGUUAAUGGCAAGAACAGUACUCUAUGUCUCUACGCACUAAAGAACCAUCAAGUUCCCAUCAAGCUCUACAGCCUUGGAAUGAUAUCAGUAAAAGUGAAGAACCUGGGGACCCCUAGGUUGCCAAUAUAGUCAAGCCCUUUUUAUCUGCACCUUUCAUUAAGUCAUCAGUCACAGCUUAUCAGUUGAAUGCUUAUGGAUCACAUCCUGGAUGCAGUGGGAAUUUGCCUAGUGUACCUAGACAACAACAUAGUGCUGGGUAAAGAUGUCACUGCAAUACUUCAGCAUCUUUUACAAGUGGAAAGGGGCAGUGGUGGCUCAUUGAUUAAAGUGGUUACUAAGCAGAAAAUUGGUGGUUCAAACUCCAGCACAGACGAGCUGCCACUGUUGGGCCCUUGAGCAAGGCCCUUAACUCUCUCUGCUCCAGGGUUGCCAUAUCAUGGCUGCUCAGCCAGUUACCCCACACCAACUUAAAGUUGAAACCAGCUAAGUGCUGCCUGUUCAGCCAGCAGGUAACUGGCACUGAACACACAAUUUCAGAAAACAAUAUAAGCACAGACCCUCAAAAAGUUCUAGAGUGGCCCAUGUAGGCCUGGCUGUGUACUAUUGAUUAUUCAAGAUUAUUCAUGUAAUAUUUUGCUGCUUUGAUCGAAAUGCGUCAUGAACUCACCAAAAUAGUGAUCAUUUUCAGUGGACAUCUGAGUGCCAGGAAGCAUUUAAGUUGAAACAGUUAUCUACUUAUGCUCCAGUCCUAGGUUAUCCAUGUGAUCACAAUGACCUUAUCCUUGAAACAGUUGCUAGCAAUUUUGGUGUGGAAGCUGUCCUAUCCCUACGGAAAGAUGGUGCAGAGUGUGUGCUGUUGUACUACUGCACUACCCAGAGAGAACUAACGGCAGUAGUAGAGUUCACCAGGAUUUCUGCCAGUAUUUGCUGGGGAUGCCGUUUUCAUCCACACUGAGCACAGUAGCUUGUGCUGGCUAGUCAAGCUGAGGGAGACUGAAGGCCAGCUGGUAAUGUAGCUUGCCGCUUGCAGAACUUGACUUUAUUGUUGUAUAUUGGGGGGCAUGGUGGCUUGAUGGUUAGCAUGAUUACUAUGCACCUCCGGGGUUGGGGGUUUGAAUCCCGCCUCUGCCCAGGUUCCACGUAUAAUGUCAAUGUAUUGGAGAUGUAAACUACAAUUCAGAAAUGCAAACCUCUUUUAACUUGUUCCCCCAAAAAACUGAGAAUAAAAAGAAAAAUGUGUCUAACUUUUCCAAUGCCUAAACAUUUUGAGUUCGUUGCAAGACUUUGUGCAGUUUUGAGAUGUAGUCGGAGUGGAAAUUUUGCUGAAACCUGGCGAACCUCCCCAUGAGCUUCAGCAAACAUUUUUAAAGUUUCACACUAAACCAUAAAGUAAAAACCUCAUGCUUGCAUGACUUCUUUUGUUCUGUCCUGCUGGAUCUUGAUGCACAAACCUAAUCUCUAUCUUUCUGGUAUCUCAAAAAAAAAAAAAAAACUAACAAAAUUUCAAAUUCAUAUUCAUUUAGAAUGCAAUUUUUUCUUCAGUCCAAAUAAUGUAUUGGUAUUCAGUUAUUUCCCUAGUCUGUUUACAGCAGGGUUGUCAUGGAAACCUGUUUUACAAUGAUCAAACUGGUUUCAUAUUUUUAUGUCGCCUUGUAAUCAUCACCCACCACACAUUUCAAAAGCUGCUUAUGAGGUGAAAAAUACCUGUUCUGAAAAAUGUGAAAGUAUGUAUACUUCUGAAUUAUCUUCAUGUAGUUAUUUUUUUCCUCAUCAAUAAGUUGAAAUUUAAUUAGAUUUUAAAGCAAUUUAGGUCUAUACCUUGUAACAACUAAAUCAUUCCUAAGGAAGUUCUUUUAUAAAGUAGCCUACAUUUUGUCUUUUUUUCUGUUUUAUAGCUGUGCAGGAACAUAUGAUUUUAUGUGCAUGGCAAAUGACUAGUGACUAGAGACUGCCACGCUGCUCACAGGGUCUUAUACUUUUUGUGGCUUGCACCAUGUGGUUCAGGCUGAACUGCCAGUAGCCACUGUACAUUACCAUUAGCAUGUGACCUGCACUUGCACCUAGAGCUCAUACCAUCAUGGGCAGUCCCACUCCUUCUCUCACCACUCUCAUAUGACACAAACUUACUGCACUUUAUUUAUAUUGCCAUAUAACCGUUCACUGCAUACUGCAUUAUCACACUACCAAAUGACAGCCCACUUAUCUUUUGUACAGUGUUUCCUCAAGGUUUAUGUAUAUUAAAUAUUUUGUCUAUAUUGCAUAUUCCUCAUUUCUUAAAACAAAUAAACCUUUCAGAUCAAAUAGUUAUGAGCAAUUGCCACAUGAUUCUUGAAGCCAGCCACCCUAGGUCCUCAUGGGAUGAUUUUCAUUACUUUGUAUUAUGGGAUUUGAGAACAAUAAUAUGAAGAUAUGACCAAAUUGGCCAUUCCGUUUUAUAUGUGCAACAAUGAAAACUCAAGGGAAAAAUUCAGUCAAAUUGUUUUCCACAAGCUGCAUACAUACACCCUGUUUCCCAUACAACACCCUCCCAGGUACUCAUGGCCUGCACUUCGUGGUUUUUUUACUAUAUAAAUUUGGAAUGAUGGAAUAGCAAAUUUCUGCAUGAAGGCAACUCAAAUCACAAUAGUCCUCUUUUCUCAGAACUAAAUGAUUCAGAUCAAAUUAUCUUCAAAAUUAGAUUCUUGAAUUCAUGCCCUGGCAGUGCUGAUUGUUUUUUUGUUUUUUUUUUAUGUUUUGUUUUGUUUUGUUUUGUUUUAAUGUAGUGACUGGGAAUUUCUGAACAAAUUUCAUAUUCAAUUAAAAAAAAUAAAAACCAACUGUAUGAUAUACUAUUCUGUUUUUGUGAUAAUUUCUAUAAUCCUAAAUAUAAUCCAUUUAUAUCUCUAAUCAGAAAUAAUCCCAGGACUAAUGAUGUGCCCUUCAUUGUCAUCAUUUUUGAUUUUCCAAUCAACAGUUGUUUUGGAUUUUACCCAAAUACAUUAACAUUCAAAUAUGGUUUACUCUAUUAAAUGUGUUUUUGUAUCAUAAAACAAUCUUGUUUAAUAAACUGUUUAUGAAAAGCUGAAAUAUAUCCAUAAUCUGAUUUAAACCGU